Molecule: long non-coding RNA, 2397 nt
Organism: Octodon degus (degu)
Lineage: Eukaryota; Metazoa; Chordata; Mammalia; Rodentia; Octodontidae
Exons: 3
Source: RefSeq, a predicted model, not a curated record
CCAGCCUGGGCUCUGGCCUCUCCUCUUUAGCCCCAGGUGGUUGAGACUUUCGUGCGGACCUGGGCCCAGACUUCCACACCCGUCCUUGUCCUUGGUUGAAGGGAAGGGUGACAGCCUGACCCAAGGGGGCUGACCUGAGGCUGGGGUGCCAGGCAGACAGAGGCCGAGGGCUCGGGGAUGAGGGGGUCCGCAGGGUCCUCCCUGGCCUGUGGUUGGUGAUUUUCUCCAGGAAGGCUGGUGAGUAGGCAGUUUGGUUUCUUACUGUCCUCCCUUUGCCAGCUUGCUGGCCCUUCUGGUCCCUACCACUGCCACCCCAUAGGAGGGCAGCUCCCCCAUCACCGCAAAGACUCUGACUUCCCAGAGCUUCCCUGACCAAGAGAGGGAUGCAGGCUGCCAAGAGCGGUGGGCCCUGGGAGGCUGCCAGGCAUGGGGAGAAGAUGCUGCCACCCCACAGCAGCACCCAGGGCACAUGUUGCCUGGAGGUGCCUGCACCGUGCGGGCCUGGGUGGGCUCCAGAUCCACAGCAAGACAGGCCCCCACCUGUCUCCCAGGAGACGCAACACAGGCCCUUGGCCACAUGCUUGCACAGGAUCAGCCUCCUGCGGGGGUCCCUCAACCCCUUGCUGCUUUUCCAUUUGCCUAAUUACCAAGCAGAAGUUGCAAUCUGGUUUGCUUUAUUUUUGUAUGUGAAAUAACCCCCAGGCCCCAACCUCCCGCAUCCAGUAUUUUGUGGGCAUUGGUUAUCUCUUAGGUGCACCACCCUCCCAACCACACAUCCUAGGAAACAGGUGCAGUCAAGUGUCUCUGGGUUGAGUAGGAAAGUAGGGACCAGGCCCUGUCUCAGACCUUGGUCCGUCCUUCCACAAAGCAGGUGUUAAGCGCAGCAAGCCCUUGGCUGAAGCACUGCUGUGUUAAGGACCAGGUUGCUCCAGGCUGCUGGCCCCAGGACUUGAGGCACUCACAGACCCCUUUAUUUUCAACCCUGGAAAGGGGUUAAGGUCACAAUGAACCUCUUCCUCGCUGUGAUUGGGAAGAGGUGACCAUCGCUGGAGUCCCCAUUCUCUGGGGGAGGUGGGUAGAGUGGGAGAGGUGGCUCCAUUUGAGAGGCAGCUAAGCCUAUAGCCCACACUGCCCUGGCCUUUGGGGAAGAGCCCUUUAAAAGGUGCAGCCACCCCAGGCCAGUACAAGGCAAUGGCAGGCUAUAGCGGGAGGGUCAGCCCAGAGGAGGUAGCGCAGUCUGUUCCAGGGGCCUGGGGUGCAUCCUGUCUGGGCACUCAAGAAUUUGCCUGCUUUUCUUCCCUCUUCUGUGGUUUGGUUUUUGGGGUGUUUUUUGUUUGUUGGGGUUUUUUUUUUUUUGUUUUUUUUUCUCUUUUUGCACUUCGCCCACGCUGGACAGUGGAGCCCUCCUGGUCAGUUCCGCUCCCGGGCUUCCAUGCACUAGCCCAAGGCAGCCUCUCUGGGGUUUGUAUGGUUUGAGGAAUCACUUUUUAAAAGAAAAAAAGUUUAAGGGAGUUUUGCUUUGUUUGCUGUGUUUGCAUCUCCACUCAAUUCAGAAAGUCCAGGAUGCGGGGCUAGAGCCCCAGGAGAGGGCGCUCUGGCCCCUUUCCUGCUAACACCGCGAUGCGGAAGUCUAGAGCUGGUUGGGUAGGGGUCCUAGACCCCACCUCCCAGCCUGCGCAUCCCCUCAAACCUUGAAGGAGUCAGCCCUCCGCCCACCAGUGAGUGAGCGCCUACUGUAUGCAGAGCAUCAGCUAGGCUGUGGGGGCUGAUGGUCCAGUGGGGGGACCCGCUCCUUAGGGGCCAGGUGGGAGGCACACGCGUCCGCCCGCCCUUGCUUGCUGUUGGGUGCAGGGGAGAUGGAGACGACUUUUGUUGGUUUUAAUUUAAAAACACAAAGGCCUGAAGAAAUAAUGUAUCUUAUAAUUUUUUUAAUUUUUGAGAAGCUCAUUUAAUGAAUUGUGCACGAAUGAAUUCUAUAUAUAUAAAAAUAUACGUAUAUAGCUCUAUAUUUGGGAAGGGGCACUGUCUCUUUUUCUCGCGCGCAUUUUUAAGAUGAAGUGUUGUUGCCUUUGUCUGUGGUUCAACCAUCCAGCUCCCAGCUGGCUAAACUUUGCCUCCAGUGGUAAAAGAUGGGAAUGUAGUGGGGUGGCAGAAGGGAAGUGGGGAUGGGUCCCCCAGUCCACCCUGCCCCUCCCAGGUGGAGACCGAGGGUUUAUUUUGGGUGUGGGUUCGGUUCUCUUGUUUCGUUUCAGUGAAUUCUUGGCCAGGGGAGGGCAGGUUUGUGCUGAUUACUCUGUCUUGUACGUUUUGUUCUGCUGCUCUUCAAUAUUGUAUGCCAGGAAAGGGGAGUGAAAAGCCUUUUACCCCCCAAAUAAAUUGUCACAUUCCAAAACUACA